GACGAACGCUGGCGGCGCGCCUAACACAUGCAAGUCGAACGAGCGAGAGAGAGCUUGCUUUCUCGAGCGAGUGGCGAACGGGUGAGUAACGCGUGAGGAACCUGCCUCAAAGAGGGGGACAACAGUUGGAAACGACUGCUAAUACCGCAUAAGCCCACGGCUCGGCAUCGAGCAGAGGGAAAAGGAGCAAUCCGCUUUGAGAUGGCCUCGCGUCCGAUUAGCUAGUUGGUGAGGUAACGGCCCACCAAGGCAACGGUCGGUAGCCGGACUGAGAGGUUGAACGGCCACAUUGGGACUGAGACACGGCCCAGACUCCUACGGGAGGCAGCAGUGGGGAAUAUUGCACAAUGGGGGAAACCCUGAUGCAGCGACGCCGCGUGGAGGAAGAAGGUCUUCGGAUUGUAAACUCCUGUUGUUGGGGAAGAUAAUGACGGUACCCAACAAGGAAGUGACGGCUAACUACGUGCCAGCAGCCGCGGUAAAACGUAGGUCACAAGCGUUGUCCGGAAUUACUGGGUGUAAAGGGAGCGCAGGCGGGAAGACAAGUUGGAAGUGAAAUCUAUGGGCUCAACCCAUAAACUGCUUUCAAAACUGUUUUUCUUGAGUAGUGCAGAGGUAGGCGGAAUUCCCGGUGUAGCGGUGGAAUGCGUAGAUAUCGGGAGGAACACCAGUGGCGGAGGCGGCCUACUGGGCACCAACUGACGCUGAGGCUCGAAAGUGUGGGUAGCAAACAGGAUUAGAUACCCUGGUAGUCCACACCGUAAACGAUGAUUACUAGGUGUUGGAGGAUUGACCCCUUCAGUGCCGCAGUUAACACAAUAAGUAAUCCACCUGGGGAGUACGACCGCAAGGUUGAAACUCAAAGGAAUUGACGGGGGCCCGCACAAGCAGUGGAGUAUGUGGUUUAAUUCGACGCAACGCGAAGAACCUUACCAAGUCUUGACAUCCCUUGACAGGCAUAGAAAUAUGUUUUCUCUUCGGAGCAAGGAGACAGGUGGUGCAUGGUUGUCGUCAGCUCGUGUCGUGAGAUGUUGGGUUAAGUCCCGCAACGAGCGCAACCCUUAUGGUCAGUUACUACGCAAGAGGACUCUGGCCAGACUGCCGUUGACAAAACGGAGGAAGGUGGGGAUGACGUCAAAUCAUCAUGCCCUUUAUGACUUGGGCUACACACGUACUACAAUGGCGUUAAACAAAGAGAAGCAAGACCGCGAGGUGGAGCAAAACUCAGAAACAACGUCCCAGUUCGGACUGCAGGCUGCAACUCGCCUGCACGAAGUCGGAAUUGCUAGUAAUCGUGGAUCAGCAUGCCACGGUGAAUACGUUCCCGGGCCU
Molecule: ribosomal RNA, 1332 nt
Filed under: uncultured bacterium
Lineage: Bacteria
Description: bacterial SSU rRNA
Rfam family: Bacterial small subunit ribosomal RNA
Source: RNAcentral